GGAUAAUGCCUGAAAACAUCCAGACGAAAAAUGGAAUUGGAUGUACAGAUCAAAGACCUCCAGAGAUGGACAGCCGAAGGGGGGACGCUAUGAACCCGAGACUGUGGUGCUUCCCAGGCCGAGCUCCACUUAGGCUGGACCAGGAAAGGAGGGAGAGCCUCGCUUCGGCGGGGAGCCGUUUGACAGCAGGUCAAAGGGGUCAGCCGAGGGAACGUGAGAGGAUGCCGCCUGACGGCCCCGUAAGGUCGGGGCGCGGGGAGCUCAGCGGCGUACUUCGCAGAACGACGAGCGCCCCUCAAGGUCCAUCUUUCACAACGCCCCCUGCGGGGAGCAAUGCCGGCCCGCCCAAAGUGAGGACGGGAUUCUCCUCCAUCACGAUUGCUUCACGGAAGAUCCCUCAGGCCACCGACGUACUCCUCCCUGCCCCUGCGAACAGAAACGAGAGCCGUGAACACUCCACCCCAACCUCUGCCGCUCCAGUCGAUACCCCGGUACUCGGGCCAGCGGUGGUGUACAGGAGGAAAGCGACAGCCAUCAAGGUGACGGGCCGCAGACAGAGCUACGCCGCAGGCGAAACCUUGGAUGGGCCGCACCCAACUGCACCGAGGCACAGCUUCGCCGAGGGGGACAGUAAAGAGAAUAGUCUCUUGCAGUUCACCCCAAACCUGUCCGGCUCCCUGCCACAGGGCUCCAUUCGCACCGGCAACUCGCCGAAAGCACCGGCAGAAGCCACCUGCUCCGCUGCGUGCCUAACAAAAUCGGAGGAGCCAGGUGGAGGAGGACAGAAGAUCCACAGGUCCACCUUAUCCCUUUACCUGAGCAGCCCUUCUUCUGGAGCGGUCCCUGGGAACAGGCCCAGGAGACCCCUCAGCUUCACAGGAGGGCUUGGUGAGACCGGUGAGAGCAACUUCAAGGCAGCAGAGGUGGAACCCAGGCGCAAGAGCCUGGGUCCUUCUGGGGGGACCAAUAGUAACGUGUUGGAUGGAGCAGCAGCAAGCCCGAGCACAUCAACGACGCAAGGGGACACAACAGGGCCAGCUGUGGAGAAGGCAAAGCACCGGGGGCCUCUCGACUUGUGGAGUCCCUCGAGGAACCCGCAUCCCGCCUUCAUCCGAGCCCGAGAGAACGGAUGGCGACAGAGUCCUGAUCUUACCCUGGCGCUCAACGCUGCAUCUGUCAUAGCCCAUAUAAAGCGACUAAGUCAGCUGAAGAAGACACCAGUCAUCCUUUCUGCCAAGGACUCAAAGAGAUGUAGUGACUCUGGCGGAGCGGUCCCCUUAGCACCGGAGGAUGCUGGGAAGGCCCGGGAGGACGAGGGACCGGUCGGACGGUGUCCGCUCGAGGUGACGAGAAGGCGAACCGCCGGUCCCGCUGAUCCGGGGUUCACCGGACCAGGGUCCCGCGACGUCCUGCUGGGCAAUCCACACAAGACCUUAACCCUGCAGGAGGCCUUGACGCGCCAUCGUCCGGACUUCAUUCGCCGCUCUCGAGGCCGGCUGCAGGAGCUGGAGCGCCGCGCGCAGGAGAGACGGG
RNAcentral lists this long non-coding RNA (1533 nucleotides) under Scleropages formosus (Asian bonytongue). RNAcentral's name for it is "lncRNA (ENSSFOG00015024459.1)". The record is from RNAcentral. Lineage: Eukaryota; Metazoa; Chordata; Actinopteri; Osteoglossiformes; Osteoglossidae.